RNAcentral lists this ribosomal RNA (1287 nucleotides) under metagenome. RNAcentral describes it as "bacterial SSU rRNA". It matches the Rfam family "Bacterial small subunit ribosomal RNA", at positions 242 to 1520 of the family's 1533-position model. The record is from RNAcentral.
UAGCUAGUUGGUGAGGUAAAGGCUUACCAAGGCGACGAUCUGUAGCGGGUCUGAGAGGAUGAUCCGCCACACUGGAACUGAGACACGGUCCAGACUCCUACGGGAGGCAGCAGUGGGGAAUUUUGGACAAUGGGAGCAACCCUGAUCCAGCCAUGCCGCGUGAGUGAAGAAGGCCUUCGGGUUGUAAAGCUCUUUCGGCCGGGAAGAAAUCGCAUGGGCCAAUACCCUGUGUGGAUGACGGUACCGGAAUAAGAAGCACCGGCUAACUACGUGCCAGCAGCCGCGGUAAUACGUAGGGUGCGAGCGUUAAUCGGAAUUACUGGGCGUAAAGCGUGCGCAGGCGGUUUUGUAAGACAGGCGUGAAAUCCCCGGGCUUAACCUGGGAACUGCGUUUGUGACUGCAAGGCUAGAGUACGGCAGAGGGGGGUGGAAUUCCACGUGUAGCAGUGAAAUGCGUAGAGAUGUGGAGGAACACCAAUGGCGAAGGCAGCCCCCUGGGUCGAUACUGACGCUCAUGCACGAAAGCGUGGGUAGCAAACAGGAUUAGAUACCCUGGUAGUCCACGCCCUAAACUAUGUCAACUAGGUGUUGGGUGGGUAAAACCAUUUAGUACCGUAGCUAACGCGUGAAGUUGACCGCCUGGGGAGUACGGCCGCAAGGUUAAAACUCAAAGGAAUUGACGGGGACCCGCACAUGCGGUGGAUGAUGUGGAUUAAUUCGAUGCAACGCGAAAAACCUUACCUACCCUUGACAUGCCAGGAACUUGCCAGAGAUGGCUUGGUGCCCGAAAGGGAGCCUGGACACAGGUGCUGCAUGGCUGUCGUCAGCUCGUGUCGUGAGAUGUUGGGUUAAGUCCCGCAACGAGCGCAACCCUUGUCGUUAAUUGCCAUCAUUUAGUUGGGCACUUUAACGAGACUGCCGGUGACAAACCGGAGGAAGGUGGGGAUGACGUCAAGUCCUCAUGGCCCUUAUGGGUAGGGCUUCACACGUCAUACAAUGGUCGGUACAAAGGGUUGCCAAGCCGCGAGGCGGAGCCAAUCCCAGAAAGCCGAUCGUAGUCCGGAUUGCAGGCUGCAACUCGCCUGCAUGAAGUCGGAAUCGCUAGUAAUCGUGGAUCAGCAUGUCACGGUGAAUACGUUCCCGGGUCUUGUACACACCGCCCGUCACACCAUGGGAGCGGGUUCCGCCAGAAGUAGGUAGCCUAACCGCAAGGGGGGCGCUUACCACGGCGGGGUUCGUGACUGGGGUGAAGACGUAACAAGGUAGCCGUAGGGGAACCUGCGGCUG